Molecule: transfer RNA, 75 nt
Filed under: Bacillus thuringiensis YBT-1518
Lineage: Bacteria; Bacillati; Bacillota; Bacilli; Caryophanales; Bacillaceae
Description: tRNA-Glu (TTC) (tRNA-Glu-TTC-1-1)
Rfam family: tRNA
About the family: Transfer RNA (tRNA) molecules are approximately 80 nucleotides in length. Their secondary structure includes four short double-helical elements and three loops (D, anti-codon, and T loops).
Source: RNAcentral
GGCCCGUUGGUCAAGUGGUUAAGACACCGCCCUUUCACGGCGGUAACGCGGGUUCGAAUCCCGUACGGGUCGCCA